This 4813-nucleotide long non-coding RNA is filed under the name Aquilegia coerulea. Its description in RNAcentral is "long non-coding RNA (ACOE_LNC001126)". The record is from RNAcentral. Lineage: Eukaryota; Viridiplantae; Streptophyta; Magnoliopsida; Ranunculales; Ranunculaceae.
UUUAUUAACUUACCAGUCGAUAAUUACAAACAGAACUUAGGGUGCGUUUGAUAACCCUAUUUGCCUCUUUUCCUGUAUUUUGGGGAUUUAACAGUGUUUGAUAACGUUUUAGGCAAUCGGGCAAAUAUUCGGCAAAUUUUGCCUUACGUGCUCCCAUUUGCCUGAAAAAAGCAGGAAAAUAAUUCCUGACCCCCCGGGAAAAUAUUUCUUUGCCUGACCCCCCGGGAAAUUCCAAAUAAAGUAUAUAAACCAACAAGUUUCCAAACCUAAUCUUUCUCUCGGCCAAAAGUGCAGCGCAAAACACCGAUCGAAAUUCACUCGUCGUCUUCACCCUCGAUCGACCUCCGCAAAACACCGAUUGACCAUCACUCGUCAUCUUCACCAUCGAUCGCUGUCCACCAUCACUCGUCGUCUUCACCAUCGAUCGCUGUCCACCAUCACUCGUCGUCUUCACCAUCGAUCGACCUCCACCUUCUGUCAUCGUCAUCGACGUCGACAUCGACCCGUCGUUUUCAUUCAAUUCGACGGUGAGUUUUCUUGGACAGCAAUGCGAAUUUUGUUUAGAUAAAUCGAUUUUCUUCUUGUUUGGUUUCGGUUUAACAACAAAUGUUAAACAAAUUUUAUUCGUUCAUUUGUAUAAGUUUGGGGUUUUCUCGAAAUUGUGUUCUUCAAUUCCAAUUUUUGAAAACCCUAACCCUAAAAAUUUGGGGGUUUUUCAAAAUUAGGUUAAUUGUGUUUCAAAAUUAGGUUAAUUUGGGGGUUCAUAUCUCUCUUGUUUUUUUCUUUAAUCGAUUUGUUUUUAUAUUCCUUGUUUCUGUUAAUGAAGUUCUUUCAGCGAGAGUUAAUUUUAAGGUUUAGAGCCGAACCUAACUCAACCGAAGUACCCUAGUGUGUGGCAGACCACUGUAUAUGCUCACCAAAGAAAGAGAUGCUUUGCUACUUUGUGUGGUGAUGGUUGUUUCAUCUAGCUUAGCUAUACAUUUGUGUGCACUACGUCUGGGGUUUCACAUAUACUUUAUAAGCUUAUAAGCGUGUCACAAUGUCAUUCUCGUUUAUCGUCAGUUUUAAUUGCUUAAUCACUUUCAUACUGGCGAGAGGGUCAGUCAUAAUUUGAUGCAUUAUCAUCAAUAAUUAGACAUAUAUAUGGAUUCAUGCAUCAGUGACCAAUGCUGAUAUGGUGUUUAGUCAGACAAAAGUGUGUUAUUUGAAGAUACAAAUAGGCAUGAGUAGUAGCUUUCAAGACUGAAUUUCAUAAAGCUGAUAUGGUGGUACAUCCUUAGAGUUCCAACAAGGUGUGUAGAUUUAAUCCAAAAAAUACUAACACUGACAAUUGACAAUUCAAGGCUAUGGAUGUUGGCCAAGUACUCUCUAGUCUUUCUAGGCUACGGAUGUCUGUCAAAGCAUGGCCAUGACAUAGUGUUGAUCAAAGUAUUUAAUGACAUGGUAUAUGUCUAUAUGAUGUUUCAUAUGUAUGUACAGUAUUGGUUUGAGAUAAGAAUAUAUGACUUUCUUUAUCCCAAAUUUGUUUAGCUGUGUUAGCUUUGUAUUCCUCUAGUUUUGUUAAUCAUGUCCUCUUUUUCUUAUAGGUCCCUGGAUUUUCUUCAUUGCGCCGUAAUCUCCUUCAUCUUUCACCCUUGAUCCAAAUAGUUAUUUGUGAUGCUGAACGUACGAACGCCCUAACUGCGUACGUACGUUCCUGAACGGGGGGGGUGGGAAGGGUUGAGGACAUAAGAUUUGGAACCGUAAACUUUUUGAAGGCGCUCUUUUUCUUUUCUUUUCUUUUUUUCCAGGUUAGCGCAUCUUCCUGAAGAGGUGAAAACGACACUAGAAGAUCCAGAUAGCAGGUGAAUGCUCUUGCUUACAUAAUUUAUAUUGCACAAGUAGAUUUGCAAUUGCUACUUCACAGACACGACUAUCUUGCUAGAAAACACCAAAAUUAUUACUUUUGAAUCAGGAAGCUGUAUACUUAUAAAAAAAUUCAAUGCUGCAAAAAGGAGGAUGAUGAAAGGAAUAAAUGGAAAGACUAAAGGUUAUACAGAUGGUUAAUAUGAUGCAUGAACUGGAGGAUUAUGUCUAUUGCAUAUUGUAGUUGUUCAAAACUUCAAAUAUGGUAACAACGUGAAUUAUGGCUUAAUCCAUAGGCUUUCUCCUUUUUAUGAUGAUAAUUGAGCACUAUUGGUUUCAUUUACGGUCCAUAAGUGAUUUGAGGUCAUUAUAAGUCUUAAUAAGAUAACAAGAAUAUAGGCCAAGGACCAGGUUAUGAAGUUUGUUUUGGAUUUACAAUUUUAAUUUAAAAACUAACUUAUAUACACAGUAUUUGGUUUGGUAGCGCAGAAUUUCAAUUUUUCAAUUUUUCAAACACCUUGUGUUGAGAGUUGAAUUGAUAAGAACUACAUUAUGGUGUACUAAACCACCCUGAAAUAAUUUUCGGGUGCAAAUAAACAUAACAAGGUUUGAUUGAAUAACACUUUGGAAUAAGAUUUGGCGAGGGUUACGCUACCAUGUACCUCCGCUCUUAACUAAGGCUACCUUCCCGAGUUAAUCUUCCCACGGCAAAAUGGAAUAGAGACAUCAAAAAGAUAUCCCCUCAUGCCCCAGGCUAUCCUCCAAAAUACAAUACAAAUAUAUAUACUUUGGAGGUUCAAACCUGGUGAGGUCUUCAACAAAACCCGUAUACGGCUGUACGUUUAAGUUAAUCUCCUGUUUCCAUACUUAUACUCGUUUUUCCUUAGGACUUCCAAAGUUCCCACAAUGUGGUUUUCAUCUUUAUUAUAUCAUUAUAAAUGUAUCAUAUAUGUAUAUCAUCCAUCUUCAGCAUGGUUCAUACAGUACAUGUUAAUAAACAAGGGAUGUAUCAUGCAUGCAUGCUGAUUACCUCUGACCAUGCAAGUGUAGUUAAUUAUUGUGUGCGGCUUUGGCGUAAAAUAUAUAUUCCCAACAUUAUACUGUACAUACACAUUACACAGUGUGUAUAUAUAUAUAUAUAUAUAUAUAUAUAUAUAUAUAUAUAUAUGCUCCUUGUUGUAUAUAUGUAGGUUUGUAAAUGUUUGGGAAUAUCACAGAAGAAUUAAUGUAUGCGAAACAACUUUUAGAAGAGUUAAAACUUAAAACUGGUCAAUUUUAACAAGGAGCUGACUGCUGAGGCAUGAAUGAAAUUGAGGCCAGGUGGUUGUAAAUAUAGAUUUACUUAAGUAACCCAUUUGAAUAUAAAAUGAUGACGUUGUGUAUUCUAGUUGGAUAGUCAGUAUGAAAUUCUAUUGCCAUGGUGAGUAUAAUAACAUUACUAUUAGUAUUUACUACUCUCUCAAAAUGAUUAGAACAAUCUAAUUAUUUUUCUUUUCCAAGUUGCAGUCUCGAAGUCUCGCAUCUUCGUUUCGGUCGUCACUCUCUGCUUUAUUUCUUUGUUGUGCACUGAAUUGAACCAGGUAUUUUUUCUAUCUAAUAAAUGUUCAUAUGAACUGAGUGUGUUGCCAUGUUAAGUGUUAAUAGCAUGUUUAGAGUUACAUGUAUUUCUUCUAGAAAGUAUUAUGAUUGCCUCAUAUAUGUAUUGAUCAUGCUUAGGUGUACUUGUUAUAUAUGUUGUUGUAUUGUAUAGUUUAGAACGACAUGUUGUAUUUUAGAAAUGUAAUAGAACUAUACAUAUUGCGCGUGUACAUGUUGCACUGUAUUUAUCCAUGCUGCACUGUAUAAGUCUAGAACUAUAGAUAACAUAAGGUUAGGUUAGUUCAUUACCCAAGCUGGUUAAUAAAAAAUUCACUAUCAAUACAUAUAUUGUUUCAGAUACCAUUAUGGUUAAGUAUGCUUGUUAUAUUGUGCGUCGUGGGAUACGUCCGGGUGUAUACCUAACCUGGUCGGAAGCCAAGGCUCAAGUAGACGGUUUUCCAAACAAUGAUUAUCAGGGCUGUCAAUCUCUUGCCGAAGCCCAUUUUUUGUAUGACCAGUACUUAUCUGGUUUACAUCACUGUAGUAGUUCUUUGUCGAGAAAUGGAUAAUAUUCCUAAACAAGAACGGUCAAUGAAGCAACUCCUUUGGAGUACUGCAACCCGUUUGUACGGGGAAUCAAUUGUCAAGCUAUUAUUGAUAGCCUCUGACAGUGGCAGUAAUGAGGGUCUGUGCACUUACGUGUAAAUCGACCUCUAUUGCUUGAAACCUUGUUAGUAAUAUUAUUUAUUAAUCGAUGUGUACUUUGUGACUUCAGGCAACCCCAGUUUACAUCACUGUAGUAGUUUUUUGUCGAGAAAUGGAUAAUAUUCCUAAACAAGAACGGUCAAUGAAGCAACUCCUUUGGAGUACUGCAACCCGUUUGUACGGGGAAUCAAUUGUCAAGCUAUUAUUGAUAGCCUCUGACAGUGGCAAUAAUGAGGGUCUGUGCACUACGUGUAAAUCGACCUCUAUUGCUUGAAACCUUGUUAGUAAUAUUAUUUAUUAAUCGAUGUGUGUAUGUGAUGGAUCUAAUCCAUUUUGUUUUUCAAGUUGCAGUCUCGAAGUUCCGCAUUUCGGUUUUCGGUCUUCUUAAAAUUCCUGGUAUUCAUUUUUACGUACAUAUUUUAUUUAAUCUUUAAUCAAAAUGAUUAGAACAAUCUAAUUAUUUUUCUUUUCCAAGUUGCAGUCUCGAAGUCUCGCAUCUUCGUUUCGGUCGUCACUCUCUGCUUUAUUUCUUUGUUGUGCACUGAAUUGAACCAGGUAUUUUUUCUAUCUAAUAAAUGUUCAUAUGAACUGAGUGUGUUGCCAUGUUAAGUGUUAAUGGCAUGUUUAGAGUUACAUGUAUUUCUUCUAGAAAGUAUUAUGAUUGCCUCGAUUUUUGUGUUUAUCA